CAUGGCUUGGCUGUACCAUCUUAGCCCCCUCCUAAGGGGGGCUAAGAUGGUACAGCGGAGAGUCAUC
Gallus gallus (chicken) is the source of this 67-nucleotide non-coding RNA. The record is from Rfam. Lineage: Eukaryota; Metazoa; Chordata; Aves; Galliformes; Phasianidae.